Molecule: ribosomal RNA, 274 nt
Filed under: uncultured bacterium
Lineage: Bacteria
Description: partial 16S ribosomal RNA
Rfam family: Bacterial small subunit ribosomal RNA
Source: RNAcentral
AUACGGAGGGUGCAAGCGUUAAUCGGGAUUACUGGGCGUAAAGCGUACGCAGGCGGUCCGUUAAGUUAGAUGUGAAAGCCCCGGGCUUAACCUGGGAACUGCAUUUAAAACUGGCGGACUAGAGUUGAGUAGAGGGGAGUGGAAUUUCAGGUGUAGCGGUGAAAUGCGUAGAGAUCUGAAGGAACACCAGUGGCGAAGGCGACUCCCUGGACUCGAACUGACGCUGAGGUACGAAAGCGUGGGUAGCAAACGGGAUUAGAAACCCCGGUAGUCC